RNAcentral lists this unclassified non-coding RNA (192 nucleotides) under rhizosphere metagenome. Its description in RNAcentral is "partial ribosomal RNA internal transcribed spacer region". The record is from RNAcentral.
GUAGGUGAACCUGCGGAAGGAUCAUUAUUGAAAAGGGAACCCUUCGGGGUUCAACCUUAAACCCUUUGUCUUAAUUACCUGUUUCUUUGGCGGGCUCGCCCGUCAGAAGUUUUCUUAAACCCAUUAUAAAUGUGUCAUCUGAAUAACAAACAAAAUAAAUUAAAACUUUCAACAACGGAUCUCUAGGCUCUU